Molecule: ribosomal RNA, 468 nt
Filed under: uncultured bacterium
Lineage: Bacteria
Description: partial 16S ribosomal RNA
Rfam family: Bacterial small subunit ribosomal RNA
Source: RNAcentral
GACGAACGCUGGCGGCGUGCUUAACACAUGCAAGUCGAACGGAAAGGCCCUGCUUUUGUGGGGUUCUCGAGUGGCGAACGGGUGAGUAACACGUGAGUAACCUGCCCUUGACUUUGGGAUAACUUCAGGAAACUGGGGCUAAUACCGGAUAUGAGCUCCUGCUGCAUGGGGGGGGUUGGAAAGUUUCGGCGGUUGGGGCUGGACUCGCGGCUCAUCAGCUUGUUGGUGGGGUAGUGGCGUACAAAGGCUUUGACGGGUAGCCGGCCUGAGAGGGUGACCGGCCACAUUGGGACUGCGAUAGGGCGCAGACUCCUACGGUAGGCAGCAGUGGGGAAUAUUGCACAGUGGGCGGAAGCCUGAUGCAGCGACGCCGCGUGCGGGAUGCCGGCCUUCGGGUUGUAAACCGCUUUCGCCUGUGACGAAGCGUGAGUGACGGUAAUGGGUAAAGAAGCACCGGCUAACUACGUG